This 251-nucleotide ribosomal RNA is filed under the name uncultured prokaryote. Its description in RNAcentral is "partial 16S rRNA". It matches the Rfam family "Bacterial small subunit ribosomal RNA", at positions 525 to 775 of the family's 1533-position model. The record is from RNAcentral.
ACGGAGGGUGCAAGCGUUAUCCGGAUUUAUUGGGUUUAAAGGGUCCGUAGGCGGCCUGUUAAGUCAGUGGUGAAACCCUAUAGCUCAACUAUAGACCUGCCAUUGAUACUGAUAGGCUUGAAUGGGAGUGAAGUGGUUGGAAUGUGUAGUGUAGCGGUGAAAUGCUUAGAUAUUACACAGAACACCGAUUGCGAAGGCAGAUCACUAACUCUUGAUUGACGCUGAUGGACGAAAGCGUGGGGAGCGAACAG